UGUCGCCCAUGGUCGUCGUCCGGCCACCACGAGCUAGGUUCACGGGGGGGCUCCGCCUCCGAGCGAGUAUCGAUUAAUCCUUUGGUUGAACAACUUUUCCAUUGAGAGAGGAUUUUUUUAGGUUUGGAGUAAUGUAUUCUUAGAGGAGAGAGAGGAUGAGAGUGAGGAGGAGAAGGGUAGAGAGAAGAAGAAGCACUAUGUCAUUAACUUCUUGCAUGGGCUUCUCUAAUUUCUUAC
This 237-nucleotide long non-coding RNA is filed under the name Salvia miltiorrhiza (redroot sage). Its description in RNAcentral is "long non-coding RNA (SMIL_LNC003216)". Lineage: Eukaryota; Viridiplantae; Streptophyta; Magnoliopsida; Lamiales; Lamiaceae. The record is from RNAcentral.